AUACGUAGGGGGCGAGCGUUGUCCGGAAUGAUUGGGCGUAAAGGGCGCGUAGGCGGCUUUGCAAGUCAGUAGUGGAAGUCCAUUUUUCAAGGAUGGAAGUGCUACAGAAACUGCGGAGCUUGAGUGCAGGAGAGGUUAUCGGAAUUCCCGGUGUAGCGGUGAAAUGCGUAGAGAUCGGGAGGAACACCAGUGGCGAAGGCGGGUAACUGGACUGCAACUGACGCUGAGGCGCGAAAGUGUGGGGAGCGAACAGGAUUAGAUACCCUGGUAGUCCACGCUGUAAACGAUGAAUGCUAGGUGUAGGGGGUAUCGACCCCUCCUGUGCCGGAGUAAACGCAAUAAGCAUUCCGCCUGGGGAGUACGGCCGCAAGGUUGAAACUCAAAUGAAUUGGCGGGG
Molecule: ribosomal RNA, 397 nt
Filed under: uncultured bacterium
Lineage: Bacteria
Description: partial 16S ribosomal RNA
Rfam family: Bacterial small subunit ribosomal RNA
Source: RNAcentral